Molecule: ribosomal RNA, 497 nt
Filed under: uncultured bacterium
Lineage: Bacteria
Description: partial 16S ribosomal RNA
Rfam family: Bacterial small subunit ribosomal RNA
Source: RNAcentral
GAUGAACGCUGGCGGCGUGCCUAAUACAUGCAAGUCGAGCGAACGGACGAGAAGCUUGCUUCUCUGAUGUUAGCGGCGGACGGGUGAGUAACACGUGGAUAACCUACCUAUAAGACUGGGAUAACUUCGGGAAACCGGAGCUAAUACCGGAUAAUAUUUUGAACCGCAUGGUUCAAAAGUGAAAGACGGUCUUGCUGUCACUUAUAGAUGGAUCCGCGCUGCAUUAGCUAGUUGGUAAGGUAACGGCUUACCAAGGCGACGAUGCAGAGCCGACCGGAGAGGAUGAUCGGCCACCCUGGAACGGAGACACGGUCAAGACUCCUACGGGAGGCACCAGUGGGGAAUCUUCGGCAAGGGGCGGAAGCCUGAGCAAGCCAGACGGAGUGGGUGAAGAAGGUCUUCGGGUUGUAAAGCCCUUUUGUUGGGAAAGAAAAGAAGCAGAUUAAUACCCCCCUGUUGUGACGGUACCAAAAAAAAAAGCACCGGCUAACUUCGUG